ACUAAAACACAUUUGUGAGAGAAGUCAGGAACUUUGGAGAAAGAUUCUAGAGGAAAAAAAAACACAUUUACUGCAACAAUAGAUGAAUUCUAGAGUCUCUGAGAACUACACAUGCUAAUGGAGUCUCAUGAGCAAGACCUUUGCCUCUGUAACUUUUUCUUAAUUCUUUAAUUUUUAUUGCAGUAUUUUAAUUUGUACAGAUGAUCUCAUCAGCCAAAUGAGGGGUUUUGACCAAGUGAUGCUCUUGAAAGGAGUGAAAGAAGAGGAUGUGCUAAAUUCUCUUCAGAGAAAAAGCUUCUCAAAAGGUCUCAAACCAGCUUGAAGAAUGGUCUGGGAUGUUAGGACUGAGAGAUCCUCUGGCUGAGAGAAGCUACACCACAUCAGUGCUGGAUAUCAACCACAAACUGUUUCCAGACACGAGAGAAGAAGAACACGAUGGGGAGAUGAAACCAGUUUAGAUGUGAUGAUGGGAAUCAUUAUUUUCUGGAACAGUAUCACAUGUCUUAUAUGUAUCACAUGAUCUGUAUCACAGUUGACUGGAUGGGACUGUGACUUUUAAGGACAUUUCAUCACUCAUCUGUGUGAACUGAUUUAUAUAUGAGGUUAAUGUAUUUUUGAUGAUAAUUAUUUUCAUUGAAUCUUAUUUGUCUUGAUGCUACUUUAUCAACUUUAUAGUUUAUGCUUCAAUAAAAUGAAAAUGGUGAA
This is a long non-coding RNA of Carassius gibelio (silver crucian carp), 705 nucleotides long. RefSeq lists it as uncharacterized. Lineage: Eukaryota; Metazoa; Chordata; Actinopteri; Cypriniformes; Cyprinidae. The transcript has 2 exons. The record is from RefSeq and is a predicted model, not a curated record.